UACGUAGGGUGCAAGCGUUAUCCGGAAUUAUUGGGCGUAAAGGGCUCGUAGGCGGUUCGUCGCGUCUGGUGUGAAAGUCCAUCGCUUAACGGUGGAUCUGCGCCGGGUACGGGCGGGCUGGAGUGCGGUAGGGGAGACUGGAAUUCCCGGUGUAACGGUGGAAUGUGUAGAUAUCGGGAAGAACACCAAUGGCGAAGGCAGGUCUCUGGGCCGUUACUGACGCUGAGGAGCGAAAGCGUGGGGAGCGAACAGG
RNAcentral lists this ribosomal RNA (253 nucleotides) under uncultured microorganism. Its description in RNAcentral is "partial small subunit ribosomal RNA". It matches the Rfam family "Bacterial small subunit ribosomal RNA", at positions 524 to 776 of the family's 1533-position model. The record is from RNAcentral.